GAAGCCCCGGCACCUUUUGGGGUGCUUCUCCAGACUUGCAAUCUGUUAUGUAACUGACACUGCGAGG
This 67-nucleotide transfer RNA is filed under the name Goggia matzikamaensis. RNAcentral describes it as "tRNA-Cys". Lineage: Eukaryota; Metazoa; Chordata; Lepidosauria; Squamata; Gekkonidae. The record is from RNAcentral.